Long non-coding RNA from Apis florea (little honeybee), 284 nucleotides. RefSeq annotates it as mitochondrial assembly of ribosomal large subunit protein 1. The record is from RefSeq and is a predicted model, not a curated record. Lineage: Eukaryota; Metazoa; Arthropoda; Insecta; Hymenoptera; Apidae.
AUAAAAUAUCUGUACAAAAUUUCUUAGCCCUCUAGAGGCAAAUAUAGAAACUAAAGAAAAUAAUGUUUCCAUGAUCUAAAGAAGCAAACGUUCCUCUUCCAUACUGGCAUUAAAGCGUAAAAGAAGUUGUUCCCAUUCCGUGAAAAUCAAGAAAUUCUAGAUUAAUCCCGAAACUUUAAAGCUAUAAAAUGAGAGCAAAGUGGCGAAAAAAGAGAAUGCGCAGGUUAAAACGUAAAAGGAGGAAGAUGCGUGCAAGAUCUAAAUAAAUUUUAUAUAUAACCUCC